RNAcentral lists this ribosomal RNA (427 nucleotides) under uncultured beta proteobacterium. RNAcentral's name for it is "bacterial SSU rRNA". It matches the Rfam family "Bacterial small subunit ribosomal RNA", at positions 355 to 774 of the family's 1533-position model. Lineage: Bacteria; Pseudomonadati; Pseudomonadota; Betaproteobacteria. The record is from RNAcentral.
UGGGGAAUUUUGGACAAUGGGCGAAAGCCUGGUCCAGCCAUGCCGCGUGAGUGAAGAAGGCCUUCGGGUUGUAAAGCUCUUUUAGUCGGAAAGAAAGAGUUGCAAUGAAUAAUUGUGAUUUAUGACGGUACCGACAGAAAAAGCACCGGCUAACUACGUGCCAGCAGCCGCGGUAAUACGUAGGGUGCGAGCGUUAAUCGGAAUUACUGGGCGUAAAGGGUGCGCAGGCGGUCUUGCAAGUCAGAUGUGAAAGCCCCGGGCUUAACCUGGGAAUUGCGUUUGAAACUACAAGGCUAGAGUGCAGCAGAGGGGAGUGGAAUUCCAUGUGUAGCAGUGAAAUGCGUAGAGAUGUGGAAGAACACCGAUGGCGAAGGCAGCUCCCUGGGUUGACACUGACGCUCAUGCACGAAAGCGUGGGGAGCAAACA